RNAcentral lists this long non-coding RNA (274 nucleotides) under Lathyrus oleraceus (garden pea). RNAcentral's name for it is "Pisum sativum (pea) long non-coding RNA (PSAT_LNC038674)". Lineage: Eukaryota; Viridiplantae; Streptophyta; Magnoliopsida; Fabales; Fabaceae. The record is from RNAcentral.
CACGACUGGGAUUGCCAACUGUAGUAAAGUUGUUUACUUUAUAAGAUUAUUUUAUCAUGUCUCUUCAGUUCUUUCUUUCUCUAUGAAAAUCACAUUUAUCCCUUACGAAAACUACAUCGAGCCAUAAGGAAGUUUAUCAUCUCCAUUAAUAACGAGAUCCCUAAAAACAUGUCAUAUCCAACUUGUUAACCAUCAUAUCAUCUCCAUUUCAUAACCAUCAUGUCUUUUCCAACUCGUUCUUCAAUAUACAAGGUCGAACUCCAUUCAUAUCUUC